RNAcentral lists this non-coding RNA (21 nucleotides) under Caenorhabditis elegans. Lineage: Eukaryota; Metazoa; Nematoda; Chromadorea; Rhabditida; Rhabditidae. The record is from RNAcentral.
UCUUGCUUGGACAUGGAAAUU